Molecule: ribosomal RNA, 253 nt
Filed under: uncultured bacterium
Lineage: Bacteria
Description: partial 16S ribosomal RNA
Rfam family: Bacterial small subunit ribosomal RNA
Source: RNAcentral
UACGAAGGGGGCCAGCGUUGUUCGGAAUUACUGGGCGUAAAGCGUGCGCAGGCGGCUUCUCAAGUCAGGGGUGAAAGCCCAGAGCUCAACUCUGGAAUUGCCUUUGAGACUGAGUGGCUUGAGUACGAGAGAGGUGAGUGGAAUUCCCAGUGUAGAGGUGAAAUUCGUAGAUAUUGGGAAGAACACCGGUGGCGAAAGCGGCUCACUGGACCACAACUGACGCUGAGGCGCGAAAGCUAGGGGAGCAAACAGG